RNAcentral lists this ribosomal RNA (758 nucleotides) under Chorus giganteus. RNAcentral describes it as "partial 16S ribosomal RNA". The stretch from base 1 to 585 matches the Rfam family "Bacterial large subunit ribosomal RNA", at positions 1816 to 2925 of the family's 2925-position model. Lineage: Eukaryota; Metazoa; Mollusca; Gastropoda; Neogastropoda; Muricidae. The record is from RNAcentral.
GGCUCCUUGUAUUACAAAAAUAAGGAGUCGGACCUGCCCGGUGAAAUUUUUAACGGCCGCGGUACUCUGACCGUGCAAAGGUAGCAUAAUCAUUUGCCUUAUAAUUGAAGGCUUGUAUGAAUGGUUUGACAAGAAUGAAGCUGUCUCUUUAUAAUUAACUUGAAUUUUAUUUAUAGGUGAAGAAGCCUAUAUUACAUUGAAAGACAAGAAGACCCUAUCGAGCUUUAAAGAAAUUAGUAAAUUCUUAAAUCGAUAUUGAAAUAUAGAUUUUAUUAUUAAGUCAUUUUAGUUGGGGCGACUGAGGAACAAAUAAAGCUUCCUAUAUGAAUAUUAAAUACAUCCAAGUACUGAUCCAGAAAUUUUGAUUAAAGGAAUUAGUUACCGUAGGGAUAACAGCAUUAUCUUUUUUGAGAGUUCUAAUCGAAAAAAAGGUUUGUGACCUCGAUGUUGGACCAGAAUAUCCUAAAGAUGCAGCCGUCUUUAAGGGUUGGUCUGUUCGACCAUUAAAAUUCUACGUGAUCUGAGUUCAGACCGGCGUGAGCCAGGUCAGUUUCUAUCUUCAAUUUAUAUACUGAACUUAGUACGAAAGGACCGGUUUAUUGUAAGAUACUUAUUUAAUCUGAUGAAAUAUAAAAUAUUAUUAAACUAAUUAUAUCUUUUAAGAUAAAAUCAAAUUAGCAAAGAUUUAAUGCAAUUGACUUAGGAUCAAUAGACAUAGGUGAAAUUCCUUUAUUUGAUAAAUAAAGGUGGCAGAUGAA